Molecule: small RNA, 96 nt
Filed under: Vibrio xiamenensis
Lineage: Bacteria; Pseudomonadati; Pseudomonadota; Gammaproteobacteria; Vibrionales; Vibrionaceae
Source: RNAcentral
UGUUCCACUACACUUUAGGUAAGUAACACAUUAGCGCAGGCUCUUUAAGAGCCCUUCCCCUAGGCCCGAAACAGGAUCAGUUUUGGGCCUCUUUUU